ACGCUCGACACCUACGGUAGGCAGCAGUGGGGAAUAUUGCACAAUGGGGGAAACCCUGAUGCAGCGACGCCGCGUGAGCGAAGAAGUAUUUCGGUAUGUAAAGCUCUAUCAGCAGGGAAGAAACUGACGGUACCUGACUAAGAAGCACCGGCUAAAUACGUGCAAGCAGCCGCGGUAAUCUGAGCGGGCUGGCAAGGC
Molecule: ribosomal RNA, 198 nt
Filed under: uncultured bacterium
Lineage: Bacteria
Description: partial 16S ribosomal RNA
Rfam family: Bacterial small subunit ribosomal RNA
Source: RNAcentral